Molecule: long non-coding RNA, 479 nt
Filed under: Salvia miltiorrhiza (redroot sage)
Lineage: Eukaryota; Viridiplantae; Streptophyta; Magnoliopsida; Lamiales; Lamiaceae
Description: long non-coding RNA (SMIL_LNC006985)
Source: RNAcentral
CUGAUAGUAUCGAACGACAUGCUGAUGCUGCAACCUCGAAAGAGUAGCUACUUCCCUGCAAACCAUUCCAUGUAAGUCCAAAGGAAUUCAAGUCAAAAUUAGACAACAAAAAUGACAAAGAUCAAAAGGAUAUAAUGACAAGAUGCUCCCGUAAACAAUCCUGAAUGAAAAAGAAAACAGGAUUGCAAUUUGGCAUAAACAUAAGGAAUGUAUAGCUCCUGGAGUCCAAAAACCCCUUCUACCUUGACAGAUCUCCAGAACCAUUUCAUUUCAGCCAAUUUGGUAAUCAAAUUUUCAGACCAAGAACUAGUAGUCUACUCAAUCAUCACUCAUGAAUGCAGAAUCCAUAAAAGAACAGCCAUAAGAAACAAAGAAGAAGAAGAGCACCCAAGCAUUACAGAGCUUCAGAAACUACUAUAUUGAAUGAAUUACAACAAAAAAAGAAUUUAGACUUUAAAUACAUGUCUAUCACUACUGAC